Molecule: non-coding RNA, 532 nt
Organism: Peromyscus maniculatus bairdii (prairie deer mouse)
Lineage: Eukaryota; Metazoa; Chordata; Mammalia; Rodentia; Cricetidae
Source: RefSeq, a predicted model, not a curated record
GACGCUUUGACCCGGAAAUGGCUAUCCUGACUGGAAUUGGCUAGGCAGAAGUGUCCGCCUGGGAAGGCUCCUCCUUGCUGAAAGCUGUGUGAAGAACCCUCUGGAGGAAGGGGCCACCAGGGAGAGGCUGUCACGCUCAGGGUUACAGUGGGCACUCCAGAGGGCAGCAGCUGUGGCCCUAAGUACUAGGAAGACACACCCCAGUCCCGGGAGGCACCAGAGGCUUCUGGAAGCUGGUCCAGGCCCCUGCUCAGCUUGUGUUUCAGCUCGAAGGAAUGAACCUCUUCCUCCAGUGUGCUUUCACAACUAUGCGCUGUCUCAACAAAGGCCUAAAGGCGAGGAAGCCAAGCAACCAUGAACAGAAAUCUCCAAAACUGUUACAAGCAGAAGAAAUGAGAGAAAAAGACCCAGAUGGUCUUAUAAUAAAACCAACUGUUGGAAAAGUAAGUGUCCUUCACCGUACACUUAGAAACGUCCCCUAACUUAACACUUAGACUCACCCUAACAGAAAUUGUCACCAGGGCCUCACCAC